Molecule: ribosomal RNA, 301 nt
Filed under: uncultured bacterium
Lineage: Bacteria
Description: partial 16S ribosomal RNA
Rfam family: Bacterial small subunit ribosomal RNA
Source: RNAcentral
CAGCAGCCGCGGUAAUACAGAGGGUGCGAGCGUUAAUCGGAUUACUGGGCGUAAAGCGUGCGUAGGCGGCUUUUUAAGUCGGAUGUGAAAUCCCUGAGCUUAACUUAGGAAUUGCAUUCGAUACUGGGAAGCUAGAGUAUGGGAGAGGAUGGUAGAAUUCCAGGUGUAGCGGUGAAAUGCGUAGAGAUCUGGAGGAAUACCGAUGGCGAAGGCAGCCAUCUGGCCUAAUACUGACGCUGAGGUACGAAAGCAUGGGGAGCAAACAGGAUUAGAUACCCCAGUAGUCCCUGUCUCUUAUACA